GGGCGGAGAUCGCCGCAGCGGGCGUCGUCGAGGGGCAGGCUUUCCCGGCGAAACCUGGCGCGGAGCGCGUCCACGUCGCCCGGGGAUGCGAAGUCAGCCCCUGGAUCGUACCACUCGUCCGCAUCCUCGGAGAAAGUCUCGAACAUGACGCGCAGCAAGCCGUCCUGCACCGCCACGCGCGCGCCGUACCACGCCUCGUCGGACCGCGCGCGGUACUCAAUUCCGGGCCGUGGGCGACGCGCCGGCGGCGCCAGCGCAACGGUGGCACCCCGCUUUCGCGACCUUCUCGGCAUUUCCGCGGUAAUGUGGGACUGGCGGCGCUCGGGUCGGCCCGUGGGAUUUGGGACGUGGAGAGGACAGGGCGGCGGCUUUCCCGAUGUUUUAUACCGUCAGAUUCUGG
RNAcentral lists this long non-coding RNA (400 nucleotides) under Hordeum vulgare. Its description in RNAcentral is "long non-coding RNA (HVUL_LNC020268)". The record is from RNAcentral. Lineage: Eukaryota; Viridiplantae; Streptophyta; Magnoliopsida; Poales; Poaceae.